GACGAACGCUGGCGGCGUGCUUAACACAUGCAAGUCGAACGGUGAAGCGCCUUCCUUUUUGGUGGGUGUGGAUGAGUGGCGAACGGGUGAGUAACACGUGAGUAACCUGCCCCCUUCUUCUGGAUAACCGCAUGAAAGUGUGGCUAAUACGGGAUAUUCUGGGUCUGUCGCAUGAUGGGUCUGGGAAAGAUAUUGUUUCGGUGGGGGAUGGGCUCGCGGCCUAUCAGCUUGUUGGUGGGGUGAUGGCCUACCAAGGCGGUGACGGGUAGCCGGCCUGGGAGGGUGGACGGUCACACUGGGACUGAGACACGGCCCAGACUCCUACGGGAGGCAGCAGUGGGGAAUAUUGCACAAUGGGCGCAAGCCUGAUGCAGCGACGCCGCGGGAGGGAUGGAGGCCUGCGGGUUGUGAACCUCUUUCGCCAGUGAAGCAGGCCUGCCUCGUUUGUGGGUGGGUUGACGGUAGCUGGAGAAGAAGCGCCGGCUAACUACGUG
Molecule: ribosomal RNA, 494 nt
Filed under: uncultured bacterium
Lineage: Bacteria
Description: partial 16S ribosomal RNA
Rfam family: Bacterial small subunit ribosomal RNA
Source: RNAcentral